Molecule: long non-coding RNA, 301 nt
Organism: Oncorhynchus tshawytscha (Chinook salmon)
Lineage: Eukaryota; Metazoa; Chordata; Actinopteri; Salmoniformes; Salmonidae
Source: Ensembl
CCCCUUCCUCCAGGUUUGGUGAAUGACCAACCAGACCCUCAAGACUGCCAUGGGCAAGUCUCUUGAUUGGUAUCAGGAAGGGUGGGAGAACAACCUGAAGAUCACUGAAACCCCACCUGAUGUGGUGGAAGUUGUCGAACCAGAUCAGAACGCCGUUGAGUACUACCUUCAGGCACAGACUGAGAAGGACGUGGAGGUUUUUGACCAGGUGAGACUGAACAUGGACAAUAUGGACAGUAAUAUGGACUGAACAUGGACAGUAACAUGGACAGCAAUAUCAUUAUUUUUUAAUUAAUUUUUU